GGUAAACACUUUUUAUAAGUUAAUGGCCAACACAUUUAUUAUAGCAUCUGCUAUUACAAACCCCAGGGAUUUUGUGGUUAAUUUUUGUUAGACAGGGUAUAUUCAGCCCUGGCUGUUCCAGAACUCGGUAUGUACACUAGGUCGGCCUUGAAUUCACAAAGGUCUUUCGAGGCUCUGCCUCUGAGUGCUGGCAUUAAGAGACUGCCACCACACCCAGCUGGAAGGUUUAAAGAUGUAGCAGGGUGCUUUGUGAAACAGCAUAAGCUUUGUGCUAAAAACACAUCUAAAAAUCGUACAAAUGCGGCUGAAAUAGGAGAAUGCCUAUGGAUGAGCUCAAGAGCUUGCUGUGGGCACCUCCUUCCCACCCUACUAUCCAGGAAUCUAUUGGAAGAGGAAAUGAACAUCUUUUGGUGGGAAAGGUAACCUUGAAGCAUUCUGGUAAAUGAAUGAGUGACUUGAAUCAUUAUUUCAAGCUAACAAAACUGUUAUUAUUACAGCCGCUGCCACCAACAGGAGCAUUCUGCACGAAGGUCAGAUAGUGAGGGCUCAGUCUACCGUGAAGAAGAAUCCUUUCAGGGCUGGCUCACUGCUCAGUGGGUGAGCACUUGCCCAACAUGUGCAAGGCUCAGACUUCAGUGGCCAGCAUUGAGGAAGAAGCAGUGGAACACAAAAACCAAAACAACAAAAAGUGAGCAAACUUUUAAGUCAGAUACGUUCACCUGAUGCCCAUGCUUUUCCUUUCUGUCUCACGUUUGUGUGAUUGCAGGGUUCAUGAACUGGUGUCCACUUCUCUGAACAUUAAAUUCUUCAGAUGUAUACAUCUACUUUCUCCUUCCACUACUUACACACUCCAAUUUUAUAACAAGAGAGUAAUUAGUAAUACACAAGCCCUUUCCUCAUGUUCAGCGAGCGGGCUGCAUGUGUCACUCCAGGGUACUGUACUUCCUUCCUUUCAUGCCCCCCCCCCCGCCCUUUACACACACAGGUUUUGUUGGAACUACUUAUUGCAUUUGUGUGUGUGUGUGUGUGUGUGUGUGUGUGUGUGUGUGCAUGUGCUCAUGUGCUUUAGCGCAUGCAUACAUGCCAUAGCACAUGUGUGGAGGUCAAAGAUCAGCCCAGGAGUCAAUUCUCUCCUACCAUGUGGGCCCUCCCCUGGUGAAGGAUCUCAGAUUGUCAAGCUUGGAAGUAAGCACAUUUAUCUGCUGGCCCAUCUUAUCAUGGUAGAAGCAUUUAAAGUUAAUAUAUUUUUAUAUUUCUUCCUUAUGUGCCUCUAUGAGAUCAUCCCAGGAACGAUAUCGUCCUCUGAAACUAUGCAUGAUUGGUAAAUCAAAAGAAAUUAAACAGCGUUACGUGCAUGUAAUUCAUAUACUAUAGUCUGUGUUCACUCUGCUCGAAACUGCACACUAUAGUCCUGUUUGUGCUCUCUUCGAGACAGGGUCACAUGCAGCUGAGGCUGGCCUCAAACUCCCAAUGUGGUUAAGGCUAAUGCUGGGCUCCUGGUCUUCCUGCCUCUACAUUCUAUGUGCUGGCAUAUGCCGACAUCAGUCUCCCUUAAUUGUUCUCAAUCACAUAACAUCCCUCCUCUUUAGGUCCAGGACCUAGAGAAGAACUGCUCAUUCUGUGUAAGAAUGUAUCCUUCACUAUUUUUAUCUAACCCAGCACCCACCUACCUCUGUCCCUACCCCAGUGCAGCUUUUCUUCAUAAUACCAACUGCCUCGAAGGCUGCUGCAUAUACUCGCCUCAUCUCCUGUCCUUCCAUGUCAUCAUAAUGAGAUGCACAUAAAACAUUUUUCAGCAGGAGUGCCACACAGUGGGUGCUGUGACCUGCUGGGCCACUCACAACAGGUAUCCCGCAUCAUGUGGGUGCACUAUUGUUGAGGAUGCUGCUUGGUCUCUUGAUUGGAGUGGGGACUUCCUAGGUGCUUCACUGUCAAGUGCCACUCCUCUCUGUCAUUAACAGCCGCUCUGGGAAGUGCCACUUUCGGUCCAUGCAGAGAGACUAUUUUUAAGCAACUCCCAGCAAUUCUUGCCUGGAUUAGUGAGUUCGAUGAGAGCUGUAAAGAUGGAUUAUUAUUUUUUUUACUGCUCUCUCCUUCCUGUAUCUUUUAGCUGUCCUUCCUUUCUAAGCCCCUGUGACCACUCCUUUCUUGAUAUAUAUUUUUUGAAGCAUUACUACGAACAUGUGGGUUUUCUAAAAAUUAAUUCAGUGUAUAAUAAGUCUUUGCACUUGCUAUUUUUUUUUCUGGCACUCAGUGUCCCACUGGGGUCCAUUCAAUCUCCCCUGCGUGUCCUUUGAGAUGGUCUCUUUGGAUAUAAUACCAAUUCCUAUCUCUUUGAUUUAAGACAUCCUUGGCUGACCUUGUACUUCUUUGCUCACUUCGAAAAUGGAUACAGGUAACCCCUGUUUAAUGAACUAUGUGAGAAACUGAAGUAUUCUCGACUAGAUUAUCUGCUGAGUCAAUGCUCAAAGGGAAACAAUCUGUUUGUAGCUGAUCUACAGCCUUAAAUGUCUAACCUAAUGCUGCCACAUUUGUACUUGAAAGUCAUUUUUAAUGCAUCCCUGUCAUCAACAGUCAGAGGUAAAAUUAGCUGAGAAAAACAGAUGUACUCUUUCUUUGUUAACUGUUGGAUGGCAUGGAGUACUUCCCUUAAACCUGAGGAGGAAGCAGAGGGAAGCAUCAACUUUGAGAAAGCUGCAGUAAAUCAGGGGACCAAAGAAGGAAGGGUAGGAGAUGAGGAUGCACCAUGUUUUUUCCGGACACCAUUAAAUCAGCUCUGCUCUCAUUAGCUCUCCACCACGGUCUGCUUUCACCUACACAUGAGCUGGUACUGUGACACUCAGACACACACUCCGGGAAUGGUACUGGCAAGAGCUGUCAUUGUAGCACAGUGGAGUACUGUCUUAAAGUUGAAAUGAUUCCUUUCCUUAUUUUUUAUUUGAUCUACCAUUACCUGCCUACAAUGCCCCUUUCUCCCGGGAGCAGGAAACAUUUCACUUUUUAUCCACUCUAAUCUGAUUAAUGAACCCAAAGCAAAAUUUCACACUUGAGUACUCUCUUUACAAAGGAAUAGAAUAUUUUUCUUAAUAUCAGAAAUAAAAGGAGGAAAGAAAUAAAUUAUCUGGUACUGACUUCAAGAAACUAUAUUUGUUGUUGCUGCUUUCUAGAAUGGAUUCUCAUUGUAGCCUAGUCUGGCCUUAAACUUUCCACAUAGCUGAGGCUGGCCUUGAACUUCUGAAUCCACCUGCUUCCAUGUCCAUAGUGCCGGAAUUACAGGCAUGUACCACACUGCCUCAAAGCAAGUAUCUUUAAGCAAGCAGUAAUACAGAUGGACACAGGGGCAUGAUAUGUACUAAUGGGUCCUCUGCUCCUAUGAUAGCACGGUGAGAGAGAGCAGAGGAAUCCUUAAGAGCUUUGCUGUAUGGUAAGAUGGCAUUGCUGCAGCCUCACAGAAGCUGUCAGCAUCUGCUCUCAUUAUAGUGAAAGAACGAGGAAAACCCUACUGAGUAUCACACCUCUGGAAUACAUAUUAAAGCUAGUUAAUUUAGAAAAAUCCGUUUACCAUGGAAGGCAAGAAAAAGGAGGUUAGGAGAACACUUCUAUACUCGUCUCCAGAAUAGACUCCAGUUUGGUGACAUCAUGAAAUUAGCUCUUUAAGCAUGUCACAAGAUAACUGCUAACAGUGUCAACGGAGAACAUGCUAAAACCUACAAUAGUUUACUUCCUAAAAAAAUAAUGUGGGUGGGGAAAUGGUGCAGCAGGUUUAUAAAGACUUAGCCACUAAUCCUGAGGACCCAAGCUCCAUCCUCAGAGCCAAUGAGGUAGAAGGAGAGAGCUGAUUUCCCCUGACUUUCCCUGUAGUUGUGCAGGAAGGGAGAGGGAGGAGGAAGAGGGAAGAGGGAGAGGGAGGAGGGAGAGGGAAGAGGGAGAGGGAGGAGGAAGAGGGAAAGGGAGGAGGGAGGAGGAAGAGGGAGAGGGAGGAGGAAGAGGGAGAGGGAGAGGGAGGAGGAAGAGGGAGAGGGAGAGGGAGGAAGAAGAGGGAGAGGGAAAGAAAAUAGAACAGUCAAACAAACUUCAGUGGUACCAAGCAGGGGGACUUUAGGCUUGGUGAAUGGAGAUUCUGGGCAGAAGCUAUAGGCACCACCUAGGCUCACUACAAAUCCCAUGGGUCCCAAACUGUUCUGAGGUCAAGACCCAAUUUUCUUCAUUCUAACUCUUUAUCCUCAAACAGUGCUUUGCAUAAGCAUGCCUCACCACCUAAACUUGGGAAAUCUGGUCUGUUUUAGAAACCAGAAUAUUUGCUAUUCUUUGCUGUUUGAAUCUGUGGUAUUUGUGCAUGAUGCUUGUAUGUGGCACAUAUGCUUACCUGUGUGUGUGUGUGUGUGUGUGUGUGUGUGUGUGUGUGUGUGUGUAGGACAGAGGUAAAUACUAGAUGUCUUCCUUAAUUGUUUUCUAGCUCUUUAAAAACAAUUUAAGACAGGGUCUGUCACUGAAUCUGGAGCUCAAUAACCUGGCUAUCUUGGUUGGCUGGCAGCCCCAGGAAGCAGCCUGUCACUGACUCUCCAACAGUGGUGUUCAUAUGUGGACUUUUAUGUGAUGCUGGGGCUUGAACCCAGAUCUUGUGUUAAGCUGAGCCAACUCCCUAGCUCUCAUCACAUUCAUAUUUGAUUCCUUUACUUCCCUUCCCUUCUGAUUAGAUUCCAUAGAGAGGCUCUGAAAAUUAUAGAGGCAUUAUUUGAUUUACUCAUAUUUAUUUUUGGUUUGUGAUGGGGUCUCACUCCAUACUGCAGGUAUGAUAGAAUGUUCCAUGUAGCCUAGGCUAGCCUUAAAAGAAAAAUAUUAAAUUCAAUUUCUCAUCAGUUGGCCUGUGUCAGCCAACUAAACACAGUGAUCAUUUGGUGUGCACAUCCCUGCUGUUUUCAUAACUUUAGAGCACUUUUUUUUUUGAUGCAAAAGUGUGAUAAAGCUUCUUCUGAACUACAGGUUAGCCUUGGAACUUGCUAUGUAGCCAAAUACAGCUCUGAACUUUUGAGCCUCGUGCCUCCACCGCCUAAAAACCAGGAUUACAGGUGUGCACCACCACGCCUGGCUUAGGAAAUAAUUGGACAGAAUCUAUUUUGCCAAUGAGGGAAUGUCAAGAACACAGUGAUUUUGAACGCUAUUUUUCUCUGGAUUUGAACUUGUCUAAAAUGAGCUCAAGAUUUAUAGCCAAGCUAUCGUGAGAGAUUGGGUAACUUUUCUAUGGAACAUACUUCCCAUAUAUUUCCAAGGGUAUUGGUUUAUAGAAGAAAAUGAGGGACUUGGUGCACACGGGUGCAGUCUCUUUUGUUCCCAGAAGAGUGCUUUAUUGAAUCUCCAAAACUUAGAACUUCCAUAUCAAGUAACUACUCAUGGGAGUUGGUAUUGGUUCCUUUAGUUCUUUGGGUGAGGGGCCACAAAGUACAUAAUGAAGAUCUUUGUUACAGCCACCAAAGAGAAUCUGAGCAUGGUAGCUAGACAAGAGCCUGUCUCCAAGUACACAGAGGACAAAGCGGUUGGGGCGUAUAUCUGCAGAAUGAAUUAUAUGGGUGUGGUGACCACUGAGCCGGGAGCCCUGUCGUUAAUUUCCCACAGACCAAAAGCUCACUAGGGCCUUGUAAGCAUUUUGGUGGACAUCAGUAACAUCUGACUCUGCUCAAACCUGUCUCUGCCGGCCCACUCCCCCACACCCCACCCCGGCACUACAAGGCCAUGUGUGAUGAAAAUAUGGCUUCUGUUUUCCCUUCCAGCCUCAACAAGCCUCUUUACUCUUGUUACACUAUAAUGAACAACAUUCUAACUGUCUCCCUCUGCCAACCUUCCAGCUCUCUCCUGGGUUACUUACUCAUCCUCUUCCCCAGCACCUGUUUUGCCAAAUGCCAGGGUACCACGAGUAGCUGUGUACCUGGUACAGUGCUUAGAACCUUCCUCCAGGAAGCCUUCCUUGACAACAUCCCUCCUCUAGUAGCCUUCUGUUUCCAUAGCAACCAGCACUCUUCUCUUAGAACAUACUGUCCAAUUGUAUUAAUGAAGAAUCACUUCAGUACAAAACUGACCAUGGGCACAUUAUAUAUCUUAUAGAUAGAUUUAAAAAAAAAAGAUAAACUGAGAUGAAGAAAAAAGAAAUUAGAAUUAUGGCUGAAUACCUCAAGCAAUACUACUUAAGAUGCUAGCUGCUUUUUAUAGUCAUACACAUCCCUUCUGCUAUCAGCUUUUAAAUUGGUAAUACUGACAGCAGGUUCCAGCAGGGGCACAACUGUGUCUAAGGGUACAGAGUACACUGCAGGGAGUCAAUGCCUAGAGUUGCUAUGAGUCUAUUUAGGAGAUUAUUUUUUAGUGUGUGGUCUAUGUAUAUAUGCUCCUAUGUGUGCAGAGGCCAGAGGUUGAUGUCAAAUGUCUUUCUUUAUAUGUUUCUAUAUAUGUCUAUAUACUAUGUCUAUAUAUGUUUCGAUAUAUGUCUCCAUAUGUUUUGAGCAAGAGUCUCUCUCUGAUCCUGGAGUUCAACAUUUCUGCUCAACUGGCUCAUCAGCAAGCCCAGGGAUGCUUUGUUUCCAGAGCUGGGAUUACAGAGGUGCACUUCGAUGGCCAGCUUUUUGAGAUCUGAUUCAGGUCCUAUGGCUGUUCAGCAAGUACCUUACCCUCUAAGCCAUCUCAGCUCCAUGUGCCUCCUAUGUAAGGAAGCCUGAAAUAAAGUAGAGUGCUGUGAUUAAAGGCUUGCUCUACCACAUCUGAGGAACAUCAAAGCAGGCUAUGGAAAUGUAGAAACACAAACAGUGUGGACUGGAAUGCGCUGGGUUGAUUUAGACACCUGAAGGAUGAAGCAGCAGCUGACAAACUCCACACAAGCCCAUGACUUCCUCAAACUCCAGUGUGAGGAAACUAGUUGAGACCAGCUUUAUACACUGCUUAAUUUUUAUCACCCAGACCAGCAGAACUGAUGUUAAAACGAAGCUCAAGGCAAUAGGACAGGAUGGUGCAGAUUGAGUUUCUGUUCAUUAUCAGGACCACCCAGGAAUCCACCUGGGACUGUCCAUGACUGAGCAGGGGAGUCUUGCCCUGCAGAUGGGUGUCUCCUCCCACAGGCUGAAGGGAAGGGGAGCGCCCAUCUCUCCCUGCUUCCUGUUGGUGGAUGCAGUGUGACCCUCUGUCCACUCCUGCUGUCCUGUACCAUACCAGGAUGGACUGUACCCUCCAAUCAUGAGACAAAAUAAACCUUAAAUACUUAA
This is a non-coding RNA of Rattus norvegicus (Norway rat), 7244 nucleotides long. The record is from RefSeq and is a predicted model, not a curated record. NCBI's taxonomy places the organism in Eukaryota, Metazoa, Chordata, Mammalia, Rodentia, Muridae.